RNAcentral lists this ribosomal RNA (1379 nucleotides) under uncultured bacterium. RNAcentral describes it as "partial 16S ribosomal RNA". It matches the Rfam family "Bacterial small subunit ribosomal RNA". The record is from RNAcentral.
AGAGUUUGAUCAUGGCUCAGGAUGAACGCUAGCGGCAGGCUUAAUACAUGCAAGUCGAGGGGCAGCACAGGUAGCAAUACUGGGUGGCGACCGGCAAACGGGUGCGGAACACGUACACAACUUACCUUUUGGUGUGGGAUAGCCUUUGGAAACGGAGAUUAAUACCACAUAUUACAUAGAAGCUGCAUGGUUUUUAUGUUAAAGAUUUAUUGCCAGAAGAUGGGUGUGCGUAUGAUUAGGUAGUUGGUAGGGUAACGGCCUACCAAGCCAACGAUCAUUAACUGGUGUGAGAGCACGACCGGCCACACUGGGACUGAGAUACGGCCCAGACUCCUACGGGAGGCAGCAGUGGGGAAUAUUGCACAAUGGGCGCAAGCCUGAUGCAGCGACGCCGCGUGGGGGAUGACGGCCUUCGGGUUGUAAACCUCUUUCAGCAGGGACGAAGGGUGACUGACGGUACCUGUAGAAGAAGCACCGGCCAACUACGUGCCAGCAGCCGCGGCAAUACGUAGGGUGCGAGCGUUGUCCGGAAUUACUGGGCGUAAAGAGCUCGUAGGUGGUUUGUCGCGUUGUCCGUGAAAACUCACAGCUUAACUGUGGGCGUGCGGGCGAUACGGGCAGACUGGAGUACUGCAGGGGAGACUGGAAUUCCUGGUGUAGCGGUGGAAUGCGCAGAUAUCAGGAGGAACACCGGUGGCGAAGGCGGGUCUCUGGGCAGUAACUGACGCUGAGGAGCGAAAGCGUGGGGAGCGAACAGGAUUAGAUACCCUGGUAGUCCACGCCGUAAACGGUGGGUACUAGGUGUGGGUUUCCUUCCUUGGGAUCCGUGCCGUAGCUAACGCAUUAAGUACCCCGCCUGGGGAGUACGGCCGCAAGGCUAAAACUCAAAGGAAUUGACGGGGGCCCGCACAAGCGGCGGAGCAUGUGGAUUAAUUCGAUGCAACGCGAAGAACCUUACCUGGGUUUGACAUGCACAGGACGUGCCUAGAGAUAGGUAUUCCCUUGUGGCCUGUGUGCAGGUGGUGCAUGGCUGUCGUCAGCUCGUGUCGUGAGAUGUUGGGUUAAGUCCCGCAACGAGCGCAACCCUUGUCCUAUGUUGCCAGCGGGUUAUGCCGGGGACUCGUAGGAGACUGCCGGGGUCAACUCGGAGGAAGGUGGGGAUGACGUCAAGUCAUCAUGCCCCUUAUGUCCAGGGCUUCACACAUGCUACAAUGGCCGGUACAAAGGGCUGCGAUGCCGUGAGGUGGAGCGAAUCCUUUAAAGCCGGUCUCAGUUCGGAUCGGGGUCUGCAACUCGACCCCGUGAAGUCGGAGUCGCUAGUAAUCGCAGAUCAGCAACGCUGCGGUGAAUACGUUCCCGGCCUUGCACACACCGCCCGU